GAAAUGCGAUAAGUAAUGUGAAUUGCAGAAUUCAGUGAAUCAUCGAAUCUUUGAACGCACCUGGCGCUCCUUGGUAUUCCUUGGAGCAUGCCUGUUUGAGUAUCAUGAAAUCUUCAAAGUAAAUCUUUUGUUAACUCAAUUGGUUUCUACUUUGGUAUUGGAGGUCUUUGCAGCUUCACACCUGCUCCUCUUUGUUCAUUAGCUGGAUCUCAGUGUUAUGCUUGGUUCCACUCGGCGUGAUAAGUUAUCUAUCGCUGAGGACACUGUAAAAGGUGGCCAAGGUAAAUGCAGAUGAACCGCUUCUCAUAGUCCAUUGACUUGGACAAUACUUUUAUGAUCUGAUCUCAAAUCAGGUAGGACUACCCGCUUAACUUAAGC
Molecule: unclassified non-coding RNA, 378 nt
Filed under: plant metagenome
Description: partial contains 5.8S ribosomal RNA, internal transcribed spacer 2, and large subunit ribosomal RNA
Rfam family: 5.8S ribosomal RNA (bases 1-105)
Source: RNAcentral